Lutra lutra (Eurasian river otter) is the source of this 488-nucleotide long non-coding RNA. RefSeq lists it as uncharacterized. The record is from RefSeq and is a predicted model, not a curated record. Lineage: Eukaryota; Metazoa; Chordata; Mammalia; Carnivora; Mustelidae. The transcript is spliced from 3 exons.
UGCCACUUCCUCAGGCAGCAGACGGCAUUAUGAGUGGGCCGAGAGAACUUGGGGGAUCUGACUGGCCUCUCCACUCCUCAAGUUUUCUCUAUUUCUUUAACCUGUCUGCUGUAGUCUAAAUGUCUGUGUCCCCUCGAAAUUCAUGUAUUGAAGCUUUCAUUCCCAAAGUGAUGAUCUUCAGAGGAGGACACAGCCAUCUGAAUCCACUAAGAGGGCUCUUACCAGAACCUGCCAUGCCGUCCCCCUGCUCCUGAAUUCCCAGCCUCAGAACUGUGAGAAAUAAAUGUCUGUUAUUUAAGACCCCCAGUCUGUGACUGUCUGUGAUAACAUCAGCUGGCGAGGGCACUGUCCCUUGCUUUGAAUGUGCUUCUCAUAAUUGAAUGUGGCUCUUGGUGGAUCAGCCAUGGUUCCAGGAUUAAGUCCCUCAUUGGGCUCCCUGCCCAGCGGGGAGUCUGCUUCUUCCUCUGCCCCUCACCCUGCUCAUGCUC